AUCUAACACCCAAGGAAAGAGUCCUUCUCCCACUGGGAUCUCCUCUUCCCUGGGGAGGCCUCAAGCAGCAGACUGCAUUUUGUCUCAGGCUUAUUAAAAAGAAAACCACAGCUCCAGUAUUGUGGUGGUGGUCCCUUGAUCUUCUUACAGACGGCCCCUGGACUGAAAAGAAAAUGCUCCCGUUCUGGCUGCAGGAGCAGUCAGGAUGUCUCUCUUGUGCUGGAAUAGCUCUCCGGUUCUUAGCCAGAAAGCCCCUUCCGACUCUCAAAUACCACUCAAACCUGUGAUUUCUAGACAGCGUGGCAAGGAAAGGCUACAGCAGGCAGAUGGAAGAAAGGCUGAAUCACCGGCAGGCAGUUUCAGAGGGAAGGGAGCRACCCCACAGCCCUGAUGCCAGAACAGUGACAUUGGUUAUAGCCACAGGUGACUUC
RNAcentral lists this long non-coding RNA (431 nucleotides) under Dromaius novaehollandiae (emu). Its description in RNAcentral is "lncRNA (ENSDNVG00000008323.1)". Lineage: Eukaryota; Metazoa; Chordata; Aves; Casuariiformes; Dromaiidae. The record is from RNAcentral.